Molecule: transfer RNA, 77 nt
Filed under: Verrucomicrobiota bacterium
Lineage: Bacteria; Pseudomonadati; Verrucomicrobiota
Also listed under: 1 other name
Description: Verrucomicrobia bacterium tRNA-Arg
Rfam family: tRNA
About the family: Transfer RNA (tRNA) molecules are approximately 80 nucleotides in length. Their secondary structure includes four short double-helical elements and three loops (D, anti-codon, and T loops).
Source: RNAcentral
GCGCUCGUAGCUCAAUUGGAUAGAGCGUCGGCCUCCGAAGCCGAAGGUUGUGGGUUCGACCCCCGCCGAGCGCACCA